Non-coding RNA from Cyanistes caeruleus (blue tit), 1042 nucleotides. NCBI's taxonomy places the organism in Eukaryota, Metazoa, Chordata, Aves, Passeriformes, Paridae. The record is from RefSeq and is a predicted model, not a curated record.
GAGAAGAGCAGAAAGAAAUACAAACAUGUAGUUGGCCAGCCUGUAUCCUCAUUGUUAGUCCUUAGAACUUAGAGUUAGGUUGUCAGAUGUCAAAGCCAAUCAGACGUUACUUCUGAGAACAUUGUUGGUAAAGUGUUUCAUUGAUUGUUAGCUAUGAUUUCUGGUGAUUUUCCAGCCUUUCCAAAUAAAGGAGCAGCCUGAACAGGAGGCUGUUACUCAUUGCUUUGCUCCAUGAAGGUCUUCACUGGUAUGAGCCUUCCCCACUCAGAUGAAUUGAGACUAAAAUAAGUGAUAUUAACACUAGUUCCACUCAACAGCUUGGGUUAUUCACUAAAAUCCAGCAGUUUAUGAAAGCUCGUGAAAGGUUUAAACAAAAGCUAUUGUUUAUUACCAUACACAAAGUCACAGAUUAAGAAAUGAAACAGUAGCUGAAAGCAAAGGUUGUUUCAUUCAAAGCAGGGAGCAGGGUCAGUUUGCAUACUAGAUGUAGUGAAUAGCUUUCAGUUCUAAUUAAUGUAUUAACUUAGCAAAUAGAUGACUUCCAACCUUUAAUUUCCUUUAAAAAUUGAAUGGUUUCAAGUUCCUUUCCGAAUACAUUUCUACAGAAGCUCUUGCAGGUUGCUUCAUACAAAUCUAUACUAGUGUUCUAUAUGGGGUAAAUGAAGCAGAAGGCAGGUUGCAUUUAUCCUAUGACAAGAUGAAAAGCUGAUUACGCAGAUGAGUGCAGAUGAAGUGGAAACCUCUCAGAGAUUAGGUUUUGCUCUCACUGUGCCCUACAUUGCAGCCCAGCCUGACAUAAUCAUUUCAUGUUGGUUGCUUUCUGUGAACUCUUGUUUCCACAUAAAUCAUGUGCUUGCAAAAUGAAGUUACUAAGAAAGUAAUUGUUAAUCUUUGUCUGAAAGUACUAAACAUCAGAAGAGCAAGAUUUUCAGCCAGGGUUUUUUCCAUUCCCUUGUCUGCAGACGUGUCUCAGUAUGCAGAGUAUGAGCUAGUACUUGUAUAGGUGACUAGCUGAUGGUCAAAAAUUUUAGGUAAAAACUCA